This 448-nucleotide ribosomal RNA is filed under the name uncultured bacterium. Its description in RNAcentral is "bacterial SSU rRNA". It matches the Rfam family "Bacterial small subunit ribosomal RNA", at positions 29 to 521 of the family's 1533-position model. The record is from RNAcentral.
AGCGAACGCUGGCGGCAGGCUUAACACAUGCAAGUCGAACGGGCGUAGCAAUACGUCAGUGGCAGACGGGUGAGUAACGCGUGGGAACGUACCUUUUGGUUCGGAACAACCCAGGGAAACUUGGGCUAAUACCGGAUAAGCCCUUACGGGGAAAGAUUUAUUGCCGAAAGAUCGGCCCGCGUCUGAUUAGCUAGUUGGUGUGGUAACGGCGCACCAAGGCGACGAUCAGUAGCUGGUCUGAGAGGAUGAUCAGCCACAUUGGGACUGAGACACGGCCAAACUCCUACGGGAGGCAGCAGUGGGGAAUAUUGGACAAUGGGCGCAAGCCUGAUCCAGCCAUGCCGCGUGAGUGAUGAAGGCCCUAGGGUUGUAAAGCUCUUUUGUGCGGGAAGAUAAUGACGGUACCGCAAGAAUAAGCCCCGGCUAACUUCGUGCCAGCAGCCGCGGU